UACGUAGGGUGCGAGCGUUGUCCGGAAUUAUUGGGCGUAAAGAGCUCGUAGGCGGUCUGUCGCGUCGAUCGUGAAAACUUGGGGCUUAACUCUGAGCUUGCGGUCGAUACGGGCAUGACUGGAGUUCGGCAGGGGAGACUGGAAUUCCUGGUGUAGCAGUGAAAUGCGUAGAUAUCAGGAGGAAUACCGAUGGCGAAGGCAGGUCUCUGGGCUGACACUGACGCUCAUGCACGAAAGCGUGGGGAGCAAACAGG
RNAcentral lists this ribosomal RNA (254 nucleotides) under uncultured bacterium. RNAcentral describes it as "partial 16S ribosomal RNA". It matches the Rfam family "Bacterial small subunit ribosomal RNA", at positions 524 to 776 of the family's 1533-position model. The record is from RNAcentral.